Molecule: transfer RNA, 101 nt
Organism: Aspergillus cristatus
Lineage: Eukaryota; Fungi; Ascomycota; Eurotiomycetes; Eurotiales; Aspergillaceae
Rfam family: tRNA
About the family: Transfer RNA (tRNA) molecules are approximately 80 nucleotides in length. Their secondary structure includes four short double-helical elements and three loops (D, anti-codon, and T loops).
Source: Rfam
GGGGUGAUGGCGUAGUUGGGAGCGCGUUUGACUGAAGUUUGAUUCUCAAAGAGGAUCCUGAUGCCAUCAAGAGGUCGCUGGUUCGAUCCCGGCUCAUCCCA